RNAcentral lists this non-coding RNA (213 nucleotides) under Pseudonocardia sp. The record is from RNAcentral. Lineage: Bacteria; Bacillati; Actinomycetota; Actinomycetes; Pseudonocardiales; Pseudonocardiaceae.
ACGAUCUCUCGUGCUGGUGGUCCGGCCCGCAUCCCGCGGGGCGGAGCAAGAGGGAACCCGGUGCGAGUCCGGGACUGCCCCGCAGCGGUGAGCGGGAACGACCGCCGUCACGACGCACUGGGCACAGCCGCCUGGGAAGCGACGGUCACUAGGCCGGCAGGAGAACCUGCCACGCCCGCGAGUCCGAAGACCUGCCACCCGUGCGCGCACCAC